GACAAAUAAAGCAGACCAGACACCAGCUCUCCCUUCUUGACUUUUAAUUGAUGAUCAAAUAGAUAAAUGAAGGUCCACAAACAUGGAAAAGGAGGUGCUACAUAAUCUAGCAGUGGAAUAGGUCUGCAGGAGAUCCUUGAAAGUGACAGUCCUUCAGAUUCAGAACCAGACCACAUAUGAUAGUGGAAGCCAUGGCCAGAACAGAGUUCCUUUAGUGGGUGUCUCAGAAUUCUUACAUUGAUUGAUUGACUUUUCAGCAAGGCAUGGGACAAGAUAGAGGAAAUAAAUGACUUAGGACUAUUAAUCUUUGACAGACUU
RNAcentral lists this long non-coding RNA (318 nucleotides) under Capra hircus (goat). RNAcentral's name for it is "lncRNA (ENSCHIG00010006269.1)". The record is from RNAcentral. Lineage: Eukaryota; Metazoa; Chordata; Mammalia; Artiodactyla; Bovidae.